Molecule: ribosomal RNA, 483 nt
Filed under: uncultured bacterium
Lineage: Bacteria
Description: partial 16S ribosomal RNA
Rfam family: Bacterial small subunit ribosomal RNA
Source: RNAcentral
AUUGAACGCUGGCGGAAUGCUUUACACAUGCAAGUCGAACGGCAGCACGGGGGCAGCCCUGGUGGCGAGUGGCGAACGGGUGAGUAAUACAUCGGAACGUGCCCGGUCGUGGGGGAUAACGUAGCGAAAGUUACGCUAAUACCGCAUACGAUCUGAGGAUGAAAGCGGGGGACCUUCGGGCCUCGCGCGAUCGGAGCGGCCGAUGUCAGAUUAGGUAGUUGGUGGGGUAAAGGCCUACCAAGCCGACGAUCUGUAGCUGGUCUGAGAGGACGACCAGCCACACUGGGACUGAGACACGGCCCAGACUCCUACGGGAGGCAGCAGUGGGGAAUUUUGGACAGUGGGCGCAAGCCUGAUCCAGCCAUUCCGCGUGCAGGACGAAGGCCUUCGGGUUGUAAACUGCUUUUGUACGGAACGAAAAGGCUCUGGCUAAUACCUGGGGCUCAUGACGGUACCGUAAGAAUAAGCACCGGCUAACUACGU